Molecule: long non-coding RNA, 1156 nt
Filed under: Pogona vitticeps (central bearded dragon)
Lineage: Eukaryota; Metazoa; Chordata; Lepidosauria; Squamata; Agamidae
Description: lncRNA (ENSPVIG00000000571.1)
Source: RNAcentral
CUGUCUGUCUGUCUGUCUGUCUGUCUGUCUGUCUGUCUGUCUGUCUGUCUGUCUGUCUGUCUGUCUGUCUGUCUGUCUGUCUGUCUGUCUGUCUGUCUGUCUGUCUGUCUGUCUGUCUGUCUGUCUGUCUGUCUGUCUGUCUGUCUGUCUGUCUGUCUGUCUGUCUGUCUGUCUGUCUGUCUGUCUGUCUGUCUGUCUGUCUGUCUGUCUGUCUGUCUGUCUGUCUGUCUGUCUGUCUGUCUGUCUGUCUGUCUCUCUCUCUCUCUCUCUCUAUCUAUCUAUCUAUCUAUCUAUCUAUCUAUCUAUCUAUCUAUCUAUCUAUCUAUCUAUCUAUCUAUCUAUCUAUCUAUCUAUCUAUCUAUCUAUCUAUCAUAAUGCAUUGAUUUCCAAUAAACACUGCUAUGGGUUUACACGCUGAGUGAAAAAAAAUGAAAUAAAACAAAUCAUGUUGUCGUUUAGUUGUGUCCGACUCUUCAUGACCCCAUGGACCAGAGCAUGCCAGGCCCUCCUGUCUUCCACUGCCUCCCAGAGUUUGGUCAAAAUAUAAUAAAAGAUAAACACCACAAAAAAUCAAUAAAGCAGCCAUCAAUGGAUCGAGAAGGGAAAGGAAUGGAUAGCACAGCAGGCUUUGAGCCAGGCCAGGGUGUGGUCAGGGUGAUCAACCCUCCCCUCCACAGAAACCCCCCCCUUGUACAGCUUUAUUUCUCCCCACCCCAAUGAAACUGGAGGUCUGGAAGAGUGAUUUCCUUAGGAAAGAAUUCAAAGCAGCUUUGAAAACAAUCUUCUCUUUGCCAAGCUGUGGCCUUGGUCUGCCUGUGUUCCUCCCCAACCCCGUCAGGCUUUUCGCUUUCUCUGAUCUUUAUUUCUCUCUCAGGUAUCGGUCAAAAGAGCCACUAAAUCCCCCGAAGGCUACAAGGCCCCUCCAGACAUCAGGAAGGAGGCAGAUUUGUGGUGGAUUAGGCUGGGCAGUGAAGGAGACGCCACCUCCUCGGAAGGUAGCGAGAUGUACCUUCAGCCUCCUUCCAGGGAUUCUCUCACAAGAGAGAAGAUGGGCGCUGUUCAGCCAGAUCAGGUAGGAGUGAGGACACUUGGGAAAAAGGAUGGGGAAGGGUUGUCUGGAUGCAGCGGGGGGUGGUGUCUGCUUGGCUUUUAAAUA